GACGAACGCUGGCGGCGUGCUUAACACAUGCAAGUUGAACGGAAAGGCCCUGCUUUUGUGGGGUGCUCGAGUGGCGAACGGGUGAGUAACACGUGAGUAACCUGCCCUUGACUUUGGGAUAACUUCAGGAAACUGGGGCUAAUACCGGAUAGGAGCUCCUGCUGCAUGGUGGGGGUUGGAAAGUUUCGGCGGUUGGGGAUGGACUCGCGGCUUAUCAGCUUGUUGGUGGGGUAGUGGCUUACCAAGGCUUUGACGGGUAGCCGGCCUGAGAGGGUGACCGGCCACCUUGGGACUGGGAUACGGCCCAGACUCCUACGGGAGGCAGCAGUGGGGAAUAUUGCACAAUGGGCGGAAGCCUGAUGCAGCAACGCCGCGUGCGGGAUGACGGCCUUCGGGUUGUAAACCGCUUUCGCCUGUGACGAAGCGUGAGUGACGGUAAUGGGUAAAGAAGCACCGGCUAACUACGUG
RNAcentral lists this ribosomal RNA (468 nucleotides) under uncultured bacterium. RNAcentral describes it as "partial 16S ribosomal RNA". It matches the Rfam family "Bacterial small subunit ribosomal RNA", at positions 28 to 507 of the family's 1533-position model. The record is from RNAcentral.